UACGAGGGGUGCAAGCGUUGCUCGGAAUUAUUGGGCGUAAAGGGUAGGUAGGUGGUCUCAUUUGUCAGGGGUGAAAGCCUUGGGCUUAACCCAAGAAGUGCCCUUGAAACGGUGAGACUGGAGUCUUGGAGAGGGUCGUGGAAUUCCCGGUGUAGCGGUGAAAUGCGUAGAGAUCGGGAGGAACACCAGAGGCGAAGGCGGCGACCUGGACAAGUACUGACACUCAACUACGAAAGCGUGGGUAGCAAACAGG
Molecule: ribosomal RNA, 253 nt
Filed under: uncultured bacterium
Lineage: Bacteria
Description: partial 16S ribosomal RNA
Rfam family: Bacterial small subunit ribosomal RNA
Source: RNAcentral